GAGAAGUUUUUUUACAUGUGAAAGGAAGCGUGCAUGUGCUUCCCGGCUUAAACGCGUAUCAGCAAGGCAGAGGGAAGCCUGACAAACACCAGCGUAGCAAAACAAGCGUGGAGCUGGAGAAAAGGAUAAUAAGAUAUCAGUGUACUUAAGGAGACCAUCCCGGACAGUGAAAACUGCAAAUCCAGACGUGAAACAAACACAGAUACAAAAACACAAUGGAAGAACUAGUGGAAGAAAAACAUUUGAAAAAAAAGAAAGAAAAGGAAACACGA
This is a long non-coding RNA of Hemibagrus wyckioides, 272 nucleotides long. RefSeq lists it as uncharacterized. The record is from RefSeq and is a predicted model, not a curated record. NCBI's taxonomy places the organism in Eukaryota, Metazoa, Chordata, Actinopteri, Siluriformes, Bagridae. The transcript has 2 exons.